AAUCAGACUGUCCCCAAGUGCAGUGUGUCAGUCAGUAUGUAGCAAAACAGGCAGACGAGCUAAGCUUGGAGCCAUCUGAUGUCAUCAAUGUGCUGCGCAAAACCAGUGAAGGUUGGUAUGAAGGCAUGCGUCUCUCUGAUGGAAAGAAAGGCUGGUUUCCAGCAAAGAAUACAUCAGAAGUAACCACUGAUCACCAGAGACGACGGAAUGUGAGGGAGAAGUACCAAAUCGUACAAGCAACCAGUCAAAACACUUAAAGUUGACUCCAAUAUACUUUCUGCCCAUCCCAUUCGCCCUCACUUCUCAAUAGCUUCCUGUCACUCACAAACACAAAGACACUAUGAAGUUGUCUGGCACAAACACUCAUUUCCUAUUGAAGCAGGAAGCUGGGACUAAUUAGUAUCAUUAUUUUUGAAUAUAAAGAACAUCAAGAAGUUCAAAAGGUUAAAAAUGUUCAAAAGGAAGCUUGGAUUGUGAAAAAUAAAUUUUAUUAGAUGUGGUGUUGUCAUAACUUUACUGACACCUAUCGCAUCGAAUAGAGCAGAACACAAUUUGUUUUUGAUGAUAAAUGCCUAUGUAGAACACCUUCUUCACAGGUGACACAAUAAAAUGUUUACUAAUA
Long non-coding RNA from Carassius gibelio (silver crucian carp), 622 nucleotides. RefSeq lists it as uncharacterized. The record is from RefSeq and is a predicted model, not a curated record. NCBI's taxonomy places the organism in Eukaryota, Metazoa, Chordata, Actinopteri, Cypriniformes, Cyprinidae. The transcript is spliced from 2 exons.